Molecule: non-coding RNA, 73 nt
Organism: Engraulis encrasicolus (European anchovy)
Lineage: Eukaryota; Metazoa; Chordata; Actinopteri; Clupeiformes; Engraulidae
Source: the annotation of a RefSeq genome assembly
GGCUUUGUAGCUCAGUGGCAAGAGCACUGGUCUUGUAAACCAGGGGUUGCGAGUUCGAUCCUCGCCAGAGCCU